Molecule: long non-coding RNA, 1646 nt
Filed under: Homo sapiens (human)
Lineage: Eukaryota; Metazoa; Chordata; Mammalia; Primates; Hominidae
Description: RNF217 antisense RNA 1
Source: RNAcentral
UGCAUCAUAUGUGUGAGCAAUCACAGAAGACUCCUUCCUGUUGCCUUGUGAAGAAGGCUCCUGCUUCCCCUUCACCUUCUGCGCGAUUGUAAGUUUCCUGAGGCCUCCUAGCCAUGCUUCUUGUUCACUCUGCGGAACUGUCCUGAGCUGAAAAGAAUAUGAGAAAUCGGAUUUUACGACAUACCAAAUUAUGAUUGUAUGUCCCAGAAAUUCACUUAGAAGCUAAUAGAAAAAAUGAAACCAAAGCCUUUUGAGAGUUGAAAAUUUAUCAUGACAUAUGCUGGCUGCACAGUCAAAACUUAUCACUGCCCACGACUUCGGAAGCAUGACAGGAGAGCUGUGGGAGCCACUUCCUCGUCAGACGUGGUUUGAUAUGUCAAGUGAGAACCUGAGUAAAGCAAAGAGGUGAACUAUGACUUGGAAUCCUCCAGGCUUUGGCUUCCAUCACACUCCAUGAACUUGAUGCACAUAAUUUAAUGUAGGCCUCCACCCAAUAUCAUCAGUUCUCUUGCAUGUUGAACCCCCAGUUUCCUGGAUCUGACCAACAUGACCUUAAUGUUCCUAUCAGCUCGACUAAACUUUAAAGAGAUUUCUUCCUCAAUAUGGGCCUCUAACUUCCCUUUUCUUAGAGCAUUUACUUUAGAAAUUUUGCAAUUAUCAAUUUUUUCUCCCUAUUUUUGAGAUGUAAAUUUUCUACAACUCAGGAAUGUCUUUCUCAAGGACAUGAGAGAUAUCCCUUUGAAAUGUAAUUGUGAAAAAUGAUAGCACCUCUAUUUCAAUCUGUGUAGGAGAGUAGGAGCCUAACUCAGAAACUGCUGAUGCUGACCUGUGCCUCAAGAGGCUUGCCUGUUUGGGGGAGAAGCCUGAUGUGGAGACCAUUGGAAGAGGCUAAGGCAAGCUACCUGUUCCUUAAACAGAUUGUUCAACCUAUUCCAGUUUUUGGUCCUCUACCUCACACAUUCCUUCCACUUCCAAAUCCUGUUGUUAGAGGAUGUUACCUGCCAAAUUUGUACUUUGGAAUCCUCCUCUGCAUGUUCAUAAGUUUUUGGGUUUUCCUUUCUGCUCACUUGCCAAUCCUCUAUCUACUUUCAAUCUUCUAAAAAUUGCUGAAACUUCUUGUCUCACUGUUAAUUCUUUAACAUCAAUUUGUUGGUAUUUUAGGAUAAAAUAUAAGUAAGUGUAUAUCUUCAACCAGCUAUCAUUAAAUGGAAAAUUUCUGGUAUUAUUUUAUACUUUCAUCUAUUUUCCUGUAGACAUUUAAACAAGAAGUCUCUGUGUGUAUGUGCACAUAUUCAAUGUUUUAACUACAAAAUAUAAAUUUCUUCUUGUAAAACAGACAACAUAAGGGUUUUCUUGAAGUCCCCUUUUAAAUAUAACAGGAAUUCCUCAGUGUGAUCUGUGCCAUGUAUAUCAGCAGGUUAUUUAAUUCCUGUAUGCUUUGUAAUUUUCAGCUCAAAAUUAUGACUUUUGACACAAACCACAAGUCUCAAUGUCACAAAAUAAGGUAGAAAACCACAAACAAGCUGGGCAUGGUGGCUCAUGCCAUAUAAUCCCAGCACUUUGGGGGGGCCGAGGCAGGCGGAUCACAAGGUCAGGAGAUCAAGACCAUCCUGGCUAACAUGGUGAAACCCCGUCUCUACUAAAUA